This 265-nucleotide ribosomal RNA is filed under the name uncultured prokaryote. RNAcentral describes it as "partial 16S ribosomal RNA". It matches the Rfam family "Bacterial small subunit ribosomal RNA", at positions 524 to 788 of the family's 1533-position model. The record is from RNAcentral.
UACGGAGGGUGCAAGCGUUAUCCGGAAUCACUGGGCGUAAAGGGCGCGUAGGCGGCCUGUUAAGUCCGAUGUUAAAGACUGGGGCUCAACCCCAGCAUUGCGUUGGAUACUGGCAGGCUUGACGGUUGGAGAGGCGAGCGGAAUUACCAGUGUAGCGGUGAAAUGCGUAGAUACUGGUAGGAACACCCAUUGCGAAGGCAGCUCGCUGGACAACACGUGACGCUGAGGCGCGAAAGUGUGGGGAGCAAACCGGAUUAGAUACCCU